Molecule: ribosomal RNA, 420 nt
Filed under: Fusobacteriota bacterium
Lineage: Bacteria; Fusobacteriati; Fusobacteriota
Description: Fusobacteria bacterium partial 16S ribosomal RNA
Rfam family: Bacterial small subunit ribosomal RNA
Source: RNAcentral
UGGGGGAUAUUGCACAAUGGGCGAAAGCCUGAUGCAGCGACGCCGCGUGGGGGAUGAAGGCCUUCGGGUUGUAAACUUCUUUUGCUCUGAACAAGGCAUGCCUUUGGGGUGUGUUGAGUGUAGGGGUUGAUUAGCGCCGGCUAACUACGUGCCAGCAGCCGCGGUAAUACGUAGGGCGCGAGCGUUGUCCGGAAUUAUUGGGAGUAAAGGGCUUGUAGGUGGCUGGUUGCGUCUGUCGUGAAAGCUCAUGGCUUAACUGUGGGUUUGCGGUGGGUACGGGCUGGCUUGAGUGCAGUAGGGGAGGCUGGAAUUCCUGGUGUAGCGGUGGAAUGCGCAGAUAUCAGGAGGAAUACCGGUGGCGAAGGCGGGUCUCUGGGCUGUUACUGACGCUGAGGAGCGAAAGCGUGGGGAGCGAACAGG